Molecule: ribosomal RNA, 492 nt
Filed under: uncultured bacterium
Lineage: Bacteria
Description: partial 16S ribosomal RNA
Rfam family: Bacterial small subunit ribosomal RNA
Source: RNAcentral
AGUGAACGCUGGCGGUAGGCCUAACACAUGCAAGUCGAACGGCAGCACAGUAAGAGCUUGCUCUUACGGGUGGCGAGUGGCGGGCGGGUGAGGAAUACAUCGGAAUCUACUUUUUCGUGGGGGAUAACGUAGGGAAACUUACGCUAAUACCGCAUACGACCUACGGGUGAAAGCAGGGGAUCUUCGGACCUUGCGCGAUUGAAUGAGCCGAUGUCGGGUUAGCUAGUUGGCGGGGUAAAGGCCCACCAAGGCGACGAUCCGUAGCUGGUCUGAGAGGAUGAUCAGCCACACUGGAACUGAGACACGGUCCAGACUCCUACGGGAGGCAGCAGUGGGGAAUAUUGGACAAUGGGCGCAAGCCUGAUCCAGCCAUACCGCGUGGGUGAAGACGGCCUUCGGGUUGUAAAGCCCUUUUGUUGGGAAAGAAAAGCAGCAGGUUAAUACCCCGCUGUUCUGACGGUACCCAAAGAAUAAGCACCGGCUAACUUCGUG